CAGCAGCCGCGGUAAUACGUAGGGCGCAAGCGUUAUCCGGAAUUAUUGGGCGUAAAGAGCUCGUAGGCGGUUUGUCGCGUCUGCCGUGAAAGUCCGGGGCUCAACCCCGGAUCUGCGGUGGGUACGGGCAGACUAGAGUGAUGUAGGGGGGACUGGAAUUCCUGGUGUAGCGGUGAAAUGCGCAGAUAUCAGGAGGAACACCGAUGGCGAAGGCAGGUCUCUGGGCAUUAACUGACGCUGAGGAGCGAAAGCAUGGGGAGCGAACAGGAUUAGAUACCCCGGUAGUCCCUGUCUCUUAUAC
RNAcentral lists this ribosomal RNA (301 nucleotides) under uncultured bacterium. RNAcentral describes it as "partial 16S ribosomal RNA". It matches the Rfam family "Bacterial small subunit ribosomal RNA", at positions 509 to 807 of the family's 1533-position model. The record is from RNAcentral.